This 16412-nucleotide long non-coding RNA is filed under the name Podarcis lilfordi (Lilford's wall lizard). The record is from RNAcentral. Lineage: Eukaryota; Metazoa; Chordata; Lepidosauria; Squamata; Lacertidae.
CAAUCCCCUUGGCAACCUGCUCCUGCUCCAACUGGGCAGUGGCUGACAGGUAAAGAAUGGGAAGGAAGCGUGCUUCGGUGCAAAAAGGUUAUCAGUCCGGUGCUGUGACAGUCAGCAGAAACCUGCCUUGGUCAGAGGCUAUGCCAGAGACAAAGGGAAGAUAGCCCAGGGGUGAGGAACUAGAGAAUAAGGGAGGCCUGGAGGUGAGGCUUUGUUACCAUGGCUACCAGGAUGCAAACACGGCUGUGCGCAAAGAUGCUGGAAGCAAGGAGCAGCUUCUUAAGAAACCGUUUUUUGGUGUGUGUGGCCUUUUUGGCUGCGUAAUGUGCCUGUUGAAUAAAUAUUUCUCUUUCGCUACAAUCCAGUGACACUUUCAUUGUUUUUACUUCAUAAACAAGAAGGCUGAGUUUCUAUAACUUUUGUUUGUUUGACUUGUCUCCUUCGCUGUGCUAAAGGCAAUGGAAGGGAAAGAGCAGAACACUCUUAUUUGGGACUGGGAAGCGUAAUGCCAUGUCAGGCUUCCCCAAGCUGGAGCCCUCCAGAUGUUUCGGACAGCAGCUGAGCUGGCUGGAGCUGAUGAGAGCUGUGGUCCAAAACAUCUGUGUGGCACCAGGUUGCAGGAGGCGGUGCUAUUCUGAGGCUGCUACAAGGGCCAAACAGAAAAUUGACUUUGACGUUUGGGGCCCUGAAAUUGGGAAGCCGUUUUUAACUGUUUGGGAGUGAUGUUUACCGUGCUUUGUACACAGAACAUCAUUUGACAGAGGAAGUUGAGCUAAAGGGAGAAUGAAUUUUAAAGACAGGUUGUCAGGAUGCUCAGCAGGGAAGAGAGACCUGAAAGCCACAAAAGAGAUGUCACUUCUGCACACAUUACAAUAUGUUGUAAAUAAAUGCCAAUUACAUGUGCAUUUGAUGGAUCAUUGCAGUGCAGGUACAAACCUCUGGCUGAUCUUGGUUUGAAGUUUGGCUAGGAGUCUCACAGCUUCUUUUCAUGAAUGUACUUCUUCAUGUUAUCUGUUAAUCAGUACAGUGGUAUCUCGGGUUAAGUACUUAAUUCGUUCCAGAGGUGUUCUUAACCUGAAACUGUUCUUAACCUGAAGCACCACUUUAGGUAAGGGGCCUCCGCUGCUGCUGCGCCGCCGGAGCACAAUUUCUGUUGUCAUCCUGAAGCAAAGUUCUUAACCCGAGGUACUAUUUCUGGGUUAGCGGAGUCUGCAACCUGAAGCGUAUGUAACCUGAAGCAUAUGUAACCCGAGGUACCACUGUAAUGGCUAGUGACCCUUGGGACUGGUAGGAUGGAAGACUGGGAGACCAACAGUAGAUGGCACUAGAAUUGAUGACAGGCAGAUCUAACUAACUCUGGAAUUGGUUCAUCCCCCCCCCAAUUAUAAUCCGGCCCCUCACAAGGUCUGAGGGACAGUGAACCGGCCCCCCGCUGAAAAUGUUUGCUGACCCCUGGUCUAAUGCGUUUCCAAGCACAAUUCAAAGUGUUGGUGCUGGCCUCUAAAGCCCUAAAUGGCCUCGGUCCUGUAUACCUGAAGGAGCGUCUCGACCCCCAUCGUUCCACCCGGACACUGAGGGCCUUCUGACAGUUCCCUCACUGCGAUAAGCCAGGUUACAGGGAACCAGGCAGAGGGCCUUCUCGGUAGUGGUACCCGCCCUGCGGAACGCCCUCCCACCAGAUGUCAAAAAGAAAAACAACUACCAGACUUUUAGAAGACAUCUGAAGGCAGCCCUGUUUAGGGAAGCUUUUAAUGUUUAACAGACCACUGUAUUUUAAUACUUUGUUGGAAGCCGCCCAGAGUGGCUGGGGAAACCCAGCCAGAUGGGCGGGGUAUAAAUAAUAAAUUAUUAUUAUUAUUAUUAUUAUUAUUAUUAUUAUUAUGGUCCUUGUGAUCCUUUCCAACCCUAUGAUUCUCUACCUCCCCAGCUUCUGGAGUCCUGCGCAUCUCAACACAUCCCAUUUUCUUUAUCAGUUUUGGUCACCUUUUCCAGCUCCUCCUCCCAUUUUCUUUACCUCCAGUGGAGCACUCUCUUCCAACUAUCUUUUAUUGGUUUUCUUGCUUCUCAGUCCUCUGCCUCUUCUUUUUUUCCUGGGCUCUCCUGCUGGCUCUACCUCUCCAUACCUAGACCUUCCUCCUAACACCCUGUUCUCGCAGUGGCCAGCCAAACGCCCAUGGGAAACCCACAAGCAGAAUCUGAGCACAAGAGCUCCCCAGCAACUGGUCUUCAGAAGCAGUGAUGCCUCUGACUAUCUGAAGCUGUGCUUAGGCUAUGUUUUUAACCUUUCCUGCAAAAACUUUGAUGCCACUGCCAGACGUAUAGCUGCUCUGUAUCAUAUAUGAAAGAACACCCUAUCAGUGAUUAUUCUCUGAUCUCUCCCGCCGGCCUCGUUCCCUCCUUCAGUUCUGAAAAAUAUCCCCAAAUGCUCUAAAGUAGGGCAGAGGUUGGGGAGGGGGUGUUAUUGGGGGUGGGGGGUUGUCAUAUUUUGCUGGUCCUAAGGCCCCAGAUUACCUUAAUCCUGUUCUGUGUAUAAGGAGAGGAGACAGUAAGGAAAUUGUCUCUUUUUCAAUUCCUGGAGGAGUCGAGAGAUUUUGUUUGAAGACAGUUCUUAAUUUCCUGCCUUGCGUGCUUCAAAGCUGAGGUAUGCCUUAGGGAGUUUUUGGGGACUGCUCUGCUCGCAAGAGCUCAGGAAGCAGAGCUCGUGGGGAAAAUGACAGCUGCAAUUUUAAUAUGAUGACUGCUUUUCAAAUGAGCUCAAUUACGGACGCAGGGCUGUUGCCCUGUUGACAGUGUUGGUUAAAAACCAGAAGAACAACUCCAUCGGAUGCAAGGAAAGCAACCAGGCUAAAGGACGAACACUGAAAUGGGCCUCUUGCUAAGGCUUCACUGGGGCCAAAGGAAGCAUGGAAGGUUUUCUUUCUUUCUUUAUAUAUAUAUCUAUAGAUUGAUAGAUAGAUAGAUAGAUGAUAGAUAGAUAGAUAGAUAGAUAGAUAGAUAGAUAGAUAGAUAGAUGAUAGAUAGAUGAUAGAUAGAUAGAUAGAUAGAUAGAGAUAUAUACAGUCAUACCUCAGAUUACAGACGCUUCAGCUAGCAUUUUUUCAGGUUACGGACGCGCCGAAACCCAGAAGUACGGGAACGGGUUACUUCCAGGUUUUGGCGGUCGCGCAUGCGCAGAAGCGCUAAAACACACUUUGCGCAUGUGUAGAAGUGCCGAAUCGCAACCCGUGUGUGCGCAGAUGCAGCGCUGCGGGUUGCAAACGUGCCUCCCACACAGAUCACAUUCGCAACCCGAGCAUCCACUGUGUGUGUGUGUGUGUGUGUGUGUGUGUGUAUAGGUUUACAAAAGUACCAGUAUGUGCAAUGUCGCUUUUUCAAGUUACAUUUUCUACAGAUCAGUUUCAUUUGUUGAGGCAUUAGUAUUACAUUAGGAAGAAAAGGGGGAAAGAGGUAGGGGGGGAAUGGGGAGUGGGGUGGGGGUCAGGUGGCAAUGCUUCUAUUCUACUUAGUGUAUGUGUGGGGCUUUGUGUCAGCAUCACCUGUGUGGGUUCUCUUUACUAUUCGCUUGUGUUCCUUUGGUGGUGAGAGAGGUUGGGGGUUGGCCUAAGGUGUGGUUGCUUGUUUUUGAUUGUAACCCGCCAACAGCAUUCGAAUCAAUCUGGCUAAGCUGAUGCAAACACACCCACACCCCACUCACACAAGAAACCAAAGUUUUCUUUCACUUCUGAGUACCUGUAAAAAGGGCUGCAAUGAAUUGCUGGUGAAUUGGUGCAAUUUCAUAGCUGUCAACUUUUCCCUUUUCUUGCGAGGAAUCCUAUUCGGAAUAAGGGAAUUUCCCUUAAAAAAGGGGAAACAGCUAUGCAAUUAAUGUUGCUAGAAACGUUUUGGUUGGCUAAAAGUGUGUGUCUGGUUGAUCAGGUAGCAGGUUCUUACUUUCUAAAUGGCCCUGGCCACAUCCACACCAAACAUUCAAAGCACAUGACUUUCCCUGAAGAAUCCUGGCAGCCACACCUUUUAAGGGUGUUGGGAACUGUAGCCCCAUGGGGGAGGGUAAAACUACAGUUCCCAGGAUUCUUGGUGGGGAGAGGAGCAUGACUGUUAAAGCGAUACUAGUAUGCUUUAAAUGUGUGGUGUGGGUGUGUUCUUUAAAGCUGUAGAGGGUCAAGUGGUUUUUGAGAAGUGGAGAAUGCUUUUCAGCUGCAUGCCCUCCUGGGCAACCCCACUGAUGGGAACGGCCACAGGCAACAGUGGGUGGGGCCAGAGGCAAAAGUAGGUGGAGCAAUAGAGACUAAUCUUUCUUUUUCAGAGAAGCGUGCAUUCCAAUCACACACAACUAUGGGGUUUCUGUUUCUACAGACAUAGGGCUACUAUACAUCUGGGAUCCCGGACAUAUCCGGGAUUCAUCCAUUGAAAAUAGUGUCCAGGCAGAAUUUUGGAGAAGUGGUAAAAUGUCAGGGAAAACUGGGAGCGUAUGGCAACCCAUGUCAGAAGUGUUGAUUUUUUGGCGAAUUUCCAUAAAAAUUGCUCCAAAACUUCAUUUUUCAUUCUUUGAAGUUUUGCAAAAAAAACAAAAAAAACUCAACAGCUUUGCACCCCCCCCCCAAAAAAGACAACUUCGCUCCCCAAAAAGUUCAACAACUUUUGUGUCCGGAUUUUUACUUUUUGAAAUAACUCUAUACCCUCCAACAUUUCUCCAAUGAAAAUAGGGACGUCCUAAGGAAAAGCGGGGAACUUGGAGGGUCUGAAAUUUAUGCAGAUUUAAUGUCUAUUAUAUUGAGUAAUCAACUAUUCUUCCUCUGAUUCUUUGACUUUAAUCACAGGACUGUGCUUAGGUUCAGUGAGAGUUGGAUACCAGUGUUUGAGCAAGUCCAAUGUCUGUUCCAUCCACAUUGGAUCAGUUUUUUUAUUAUGGCCUGAGGAGGUGGACAAGUUGCUUAAAGAAGUGCAGCCGACCGCUUGCCUCCUUGGCCCUUGCCCAUCUUGGUUUCUUAGAGCUACCUGUAAGAGGAUGACCGGGCGAGUCCAGAGAGUGAUUAGUGUUUCACAGAAGGAAGAGGAGGAAAUGCCAUUGGCAUUGAAGGAGGAAGUGGUGUGCCUCCUCCUCAAGAAGACCUCUGUGGACCCCAAGAUGUUAAAAUAACCAUUGCCCGGUGGUCUUCUGGGGGCAAGAUGCUAGGGAAGAUGGUAGCAGUCCAGCUUCAGGCAUGCUUGGAGAAAACUGCGUACUUGGAUCUGUUCUAGUCUGGCUUGAUCAUGGCACUGAAACUGCUUUGAUCAGGAGAGAGAUGGGGCAGUACAAGCCUUGAUCUCUCGACAAUUCCUGAAACUGUCAACCUCAGGAAGGUAGAAACUUGGGGACAUUGUGCGGCAGCUAGACUGGUGGCUGGGCGUGGCUGCCGAGACCAUAUAACACUGGUCCUGAAAGACCUACAUUGGCUCCCAGUAUGUUUCCAAGCACAAUUCAAAGUGUUGGUGCUGACUUUUAAAGCCCUAAAUGGCCUCGGUCCAGUAUACCUGAAGGAGCGUCUCCACCCCCAUCGUUCUGCCCGGACACUGAGGUGCACCUCACAGGGCCUUCUAGCAGUUCCCUCCCUUCGAGAAGUGAGGUUACAGGGAACCAGGCAGAGGGCCUUCUUGGUAGUGGCGCCCACCCUGUGGAACGCCCUCCCGUCAGAUGUCAAGGAAAUAAACAACUAUCUGACUUUUAGAAGACAUCUGAAGGCAACCCUGUUUAGGGAAGUUUUUAAUGUUUGAUGUUUUAUUGUGCUUUUAAUAUUCUGUUGGGAGCUGCCCAGAGUGGCUGGGGAAACCCAGCCAGAUGGGCAUGGUAUAAAUAAUUUAUUUUUAUUAUUAUUAUUGUUAUUCCACUCCUGCCUCCAGAGCCACUUGCAGAAAAUACACUUAUGACAAGUUAGUGUUCAGCACCACCUCAGCUGCUCUCUAUUGUCCUGCAAGGUUGAAUCUUGUCCCCCAUGCUGUUAACAUCUAUAGGAAGCUGCUGGGAGCUGCCACGGGAUAUUUGGAGUGUAGGUGGCACUUAGUUCUUUCUUCCACCUGAAUCAGGCGAAGUGGUUGGAGGCGAUGGUGAGGUAGAAUUUUCCUCCCCAGUUACGCUCACAAGUCAUUGAAGCAUCCUUGCGUGGAAACACCACAUAGGGGCGUAUGUGUUUGUGUGUCAACUUCCAGUGACAAGUGUAGGUGUCUGCCAUCUGGGUACCACACAGCUGAUUCUCUUCUCUCUGCUCUCCACAGAGAGACUUCCUUGGCAAAACUGGACCAUUCCAGAAACGGUAGCCUGCCACGGUAAGUCUGCCUUCGUGGAUGCUGCUACUUCCCUCUCUUCCCAAUUGCCGCUUAAUUCCUUGUGUAAACUCUUCAUUUUUGCCACCUCGAGGCAUGCUUCCAGUGACCCUGUCCAGUGUUUCCUCUUCCCCCAGCACACACACACACACACACACACACACACACACAUCUGGGAGGUCCCCUGGGAAGUCUGCUGCCUUGAUCUCUUUCGGGUAAGUGCUAACUGCUGAUAAUAAUCUAACAAUAAGCAUUUCAGGGCAAGGUUAGGGAUAUUAUUAUGGCAAAGCGUUGACACUCCUUUACUUGUUGUUGCAGAUGGGGCCGGGGAUGGGGGGGUGGGCUGGGCUGGAAGUGGAUGGGGAUUGAGACCAAAUAGGCCUCUUUUCCUGACCUUGUGUAAAUGGCCGACUUUAGGUCACGGCUGUGCAAACAGAAUCUUCCCUCCCCUACUUGUUUAUUUCUUUAUUUGUCUAGCUAAUGCGGGUUUAGUUCAAAUGCUGCCGAAAGGACUGCUAGUCCCCUGUCAUGGGCUUCACAGCCUGUGCCAGAAAUCGGUGGCAGGACCACUAGGCAGACAGCCACGCCAAUCUCUCCUCAAAGUGCCACAUUCUCCAAAUUCGGGGUGCACCUUCCCACACUCUGUCAAAUAGCAGAACUCUGCUCCCUGCAACUUCAGUGGAAAAAAUCAUGUCAUUACUGAAUUACUCAGCCUGCUGCUUGGGAUAGAAGUCUCAAUUCGCUCCUGUGCUUGCAGGGGCUGGAGAAGCCAGCUCUGGGCAAGGAGGGAAAGAAAACUCCAAUGGUCCUCUGUCCUUCCACAGCUAUUAGUCAGCUUUGGAGGUGGUUUGGCUGCUCUCCUUCCAAAAGGAGUUGUAAAGUAAAGGUAAAGGGACCACUGACCAUUAGGUCCAGUCGUAGCCGACUCUGGGGUUGCGGCGCUCAUCUCGUUUUAUUGGCCGAGGGAGCCGGCGUACAGCUUCCAGGUCAUGUGGCCAGCAUGACUAAGCCGCUUCUGGCGAACCGGAGCAGCGCAUGGAAACGCUGUUUACCUUCCCACCAGAGUGGUACCUAUUUAUCUACUUGCACUGUGACGUGCUUUCGAACUGCUAGGUUGGCAGGAGCAGGAAACGAGCAAUGGGAGCUCACCCCGUCGCGGGGAUUCAAACCGCCGACCUUCUGAUCGGCAAGUCCUAGGCUCUGUGGUUUAACCCACAGCUCCACCCGUGUCCCUAAAAGGAGUUGUAAACACAUGCUAUUUGUCAUGGUUAGGAGUUGCCCGUCUUCAAUUCAGAUUUUUGUGCAGGUGCAUCACCAGGUAAACUACAGAACGAUGGGCUAAAGCAUUUGCCUAGUACUCUCAGGCCCUGGACUAGCUCUGUCCACCCAAGCUGGUCACAGGGCACCUUCUUAUUUCACCUGAGCAGCAAGACAUUCCUGGUGUUGAUGUGGCCUUGCAUGCUCUGCACCUGUGCCCUGCAGCCCUGCAUUUGGACUUAUCUUUGGUUCCAACUGUCAGGAGUUCAGCCUACCCUCAAGUAGGAACCUGGCAGAGAUACAAGCCCGACUGGCAUGUUCUCUCCCUCCUGGUCGAUCGUUUGGGAGCUUCAAAAGCUUUCUUCUGCCCGAACAUCACAGCGACCGAUGCCAACAAACACCUGCACACUUAGGGAUCCGCAGAGUCUUUGCAGCUUGCAUAACAGACCUCAGCAACUCAGCAUUUUGGCUAAUCUACUUUAUUUACAUAUAAACAUAUACAGAGCACUGCAACAGGGCUCCCUCUCUCUCUCUAGCAUCAGACAGCAAAGAGAAAAAGAACAAAAGACAAUAGUCCCACUUCACGGAACACAGUAACACAACCCUCCUGUCUCCGUCACUUCCCACUCUGUGGAGUCAAAACAUACACCGUCAUGAGAUAGACAAACAUCCCAUGACUGCAAUCAUAGACCAGGAAUUCUAACAACAACACCUGCUUUCUUCUAGGCUUGCGUUUGAUUCCUCUGGUUCCUGGUGUGGAUAGUGUCAUUAUGUAGUUUAGUCAAUAGGUGGCGCUGAACUGACCUGUCUCUGGGUGGAGUCAGGCAAUUCCUGUUGCUGCUCUGUUCCUGUUGGAGAGAGGCAAUAAAGUUCCUGUCCUGUUUCCUGUAGCUUUUAAGUCUUCCAUGGUAUUCCUUGGUGUCCGAUGGUUUCCUUGGUUCUGAGUCCCCAAGCUUGCUCCUUGGCUUCGACUCUGUCGAUUGGCUCCUGGCUCAUCUUGUACAUCUGCCUGUGGUUCGAUCUGAAUACUCACCUUUUCCAGGUCCUUUGCUCCCUGGAUCUUGCCAGUGGGAAAAGGCACCAGUGCUGUUUGGACAGCAGGCACCAUCUGCAAUAAUCAACUAGCUGAACUGGCAACAAUCUCCCUGAAACAAUAACCCUCAUUGCAGUUGCCCCUUACCCUCAUGGUCAACUGACCGCCAUGCAGGACAAAAGCCUGACAGUGAUUGAUAAAGUCCAGCUGGACUCACUGCGCUUGGCUAAUCAUUUAAGGAGCCAUCCUUCUUCCGUUUUCACGUGCUUAUCCUUACUGCUUCUCUCAAGGCAAACCUCGCUUUCCUGCCUGUCGGCCAAUCUUCCCAAGCCCAAGACAGAUGGCCCAAUUGCAUCUGCCUUCUGCAAUUAAAACAGCAAUUCCUGUCGCUAGGUACUGGGAUGGGAAAAUAAGGGACCCUCCUUUAUUCCUGACCUGGAAAGUUCCCCAAGCAAAACACAGCUCACCCUCUCCAAGCAUCUCAUAAUGAAAACAGCAGGCAACAGAGCAAGCUGUUUACACAAGCUGUGCUCUUCUUCCCAUGGAGAGGUUGACUGGGUUGGAGCUUCCUUGCACAUCCUUGUUUUAAAAAGACAUUCCAGGGACUGGCUUGGCUCCGGCAUUGCAUCUGUUCUGUUCUACAGACCAGUCAAAGGCUAGUCUCUUUAUUUCAUGGACAGAGAACCUUUCUGUUGAGGGCCAGGACCCACAAGCUGUUGGUGGGAAGAGCCAAAAGCAGUGGUGGUUAAAGCUAACAGGGUGUGAUGGCCUGGGACUCAGGCUCAGAUUCAGAAUCAGAGGAGUCUCAGUCUGCACCAGAUCCUUCACCUCAGGCAUCAUCUGAACCAAGUCUGGGGCCUGAUCCUGAAAAGUCCCAGUCUGCACAGGUUCCCCUGCAACAAACACCAGCUGGACUGAGUCAGGGGCCUGAGCCUGCCCUGGCUCCAGAUGUGGGGGAUUACCUCGUUGUCUUCAGCUGGGCCAUCACUUACAGCUGCUCCACUACCAGUUGGGUCAAGGGAGGCUGAGGCGGCCUCUGGGUCUAGUAACCCACCGACGUCUCCCAAGCUGCAGAGACUAAGGUCUGAGAGAAGGAGAGACCUGAGUACUCGCAGGAGGAGUGCUCACCUUUGGGCGAAAUGGGAGGUGAGUCACCGGGGUAUCAGGACCGGCCGUUACCCCGACAAAGAUAAAAGGCUGUCGGACCCCGCCCCAGGUUGCGGGAGCAACAUUGCUGUAUGCCAGAUCCUCCCUGAGAUCCUGUACCUGUCCUUGCCUGGUUUCCUGCCUCGUGUCCUGCCUUGACCCUGUUGGACUGACUCCCAGUGGAACCUUUGGAUUCUGGACUGGUCCUGGGCUGUGUUUCAGGGGUUACCCCUGAGCCCAGCACACAGGAGCUUGGACUGAACACCUUUCUCUCUUCUUCCUCCCCAGUCUCUUCACUGCCCAGCUGUCAGCAGGGGGUCAGACAUCUUGCGAAAGGUCUGAACAGAUCACUUGCAGAGGACUUUUGAAAUCAGGCUAAGGUCUGUGUGUGGCCAUAGGGCUGUUGGUUGCUCAUCAUAGCCCUACUUUUAUAUAGCAGAAUUCCCUCCUUGGUCUUUCGGCCAGGCUUAUCCUAGAUUAGGGAUGGGGAACUUUUCCAACCUUGGGGCCACAUUCCCUUCGAGGCAACCUCCUAGAGGCCACAUGCCAGUGGUGGGCAGAGCAACAAAUAUGAAUUACCUGUAUACCUCUGCACUCCAUCCAGACAGGCAAGAGGCAUGAUUAGAGUUCAAGGAUGCAUUCCAGCUAGGUAAUAAAACUUGAGGUGUGAAGCAAGGCCAAUGAGGGGUGUGGCCUUGAGAAGGAGGGUGUCGCUUGUCGUGUCAAGGGACCACGAGGGUCAUCUAGUCCAACCCCCUGCAAUGUAUGGAUCUUUUGCCCAUCAUGGGGCUCGAACCCACAACCUUGAGAUUAUUAGUCUCAUUCUUAACCAACUGAGCUAUGAUGGGUACACUAAUUGUGUGACAAUUAGAGUAAAACAGUCUAACUAUAAAGUUGGGCUGAGACUUUGGAUGUAUUAGUUAUAUAACAAACUAGAGUGUGUGUUUGUGUGUGUGUAAUGCACAUCUGUAUUGGACUGAAAUGUGAUGAUGGCAUCAUUAUGACAAAAAGAAUUUUUUUUAAGAAAAUGGGAUUUGUUCAUAAGCACGGGCCCCCAAAUGCUAUAAAUCCCCUGCUGUUUAGGAGGUUUGAGUCUUGCUGCAACUGACUAACACAGAUACCCCUUUGGAAUUAGUUGCUUGUUCACCAGAAGCGGCUUAGUCAUGCUGGCCACGUGACCCAGAAGCUGUACGCCGGCUCCCUUGGCCAGUAAAGCGAGAUGAGCGCCGCAACCCCAGAGUCGGUCACAACUGGACCUAAUGGUCAGGGGUCCCUUUACCUUUAUAUUGGUUUGUCAUGCUGUGCAGGUGCAAAACCUCUUCUUUGCAUACAGUAUAUCCUACCUGUAGUCUCUCUUCUGGCGCAUCAUCCGGCGCACCAUGUCUUAGGAUCUGGCCCCAAGCAUUAUUAACACCAUUUGCCUUUCGUUUAAUUAGAAAAACAAACAAGCCCUCUUCAUUUCAUCACUACAAAUAGCGAGCCAAAGAUGUGGCUGGUCCGGCUCCGCCGAACGCAACAGAUUUACACCAGGAAUGACUGUGGUCUGCAUUGUGUUUUAUUCAGCCACAAUAAAUUUACUCCUGCAAGUGCUCUGGUGUGGCAUGAAAGCAGCUGUGUUUUCUUAGGCACCAACAAUUUGACCGAUAUGGUUUUUAUUGCCACCACAGAAGCUGUUAGCGCGUAAAAGUUACAUUAAAGUUUUAUGGACCUUGCUGUCUCCUAUGUUAACCUUCAUAUAUCUAAAGAGGGUUUCCAAAGGAGACACCUCCUUCCAGAAAAGGCCUCUGCAGGUCUGGAAAGACCCACAUGCCACACAUUUAGAACCCGGAGAAAGACAGAAUCCACCGUCCGAAUGAUUCCUGUCCCUCACCUUGCAGAAAAGCAGCGGUGCCUCCUGCUUCGGUGCCCCCUUCCCAUUAAAAAGCAAAACAAAACGCUCCGUCAUACAAGUCUCAAUCAUUAUGCCGUAUCAGAUCAUGUCGCUAAGAAUGCCAUAAUGUAACGGGCAGCCGGCCAGGAAUAAUAUUCGCAUUCCCACUGGAAAUCUCGAAAACCCUUUCAUUUCACCGCGUCCCCAGAUAUACUCUCCACAAAGAGGUCAUGAAAUCUAAACCUCAGUGUAUAAACCGCAGGAGGACAUCGGCCGAACAUGUCAGGCUGGGAGCGAGGGGGUGGGCUGAGAGGUGUGUGUGUGUGAAAAAAGCGGGGAGGGUGUCGCAUUAAAAAUUGCCUUGCCCAUUUACAAUCUGUUGAAAGUUUAAAGAUCGCUUUCUUUGAGGUGACAAAGCGAUCUGUCCGCAGCAAACAAAGGCCAUUUACCCGAGUGCUUGGUUUGGGGGGGGGGUUUGAUGGUGUGUGUGUGUUUGCGUUUUGUGGUUGUUGCUUUUUAAUGCGCGGAACAAGGGCGACUCUGCAGCCGAGUCAGCUUAGAAGCAAGAAUGGUGCCUGAAUCGGGGAGACAGGAUGAUUUGGGAGUGUGGGCUCGCUUGCAUUGUUCCCCUUCCUCCUCGCCCCCACCCUCACCCCCGUGCUGCCCCCAUGCUGAUCUGGCUUUGGCAAUUUGAAAUUGAUUAUUUUGGAUUGUGUGCGUGUGUAGAGCCCCGCCCCUUCUGCCGGCUAAUUAAAAAGUGGCCUUGUUGAGGCAGCAUGCUUUUAAAUUGCUAAGGAUUGGCAGGCCGGGCCCGGCAACAAAAAAAUCAUUAAUUCUAAUGUGACAGUGUUUCUUUAAGGGGCCCUCAUGGUACAGGACAGGGGUCGGAUCAAGUUGAUUAUGGACUCCUGUUCUCAUCAAUCUCGCGCUCUGCGGGAAGGUAGCGGAAACAUAGCUCCAGACUUUGGCUCGCUUUUCAGCUCUGGGCCGAGCUGGGGUCGAGACUGUUUCUCAGGCUCCUCGUUUCUCCUGGGGGGAAGGAAGGGGGGUCAGAAACUAGGCUCCUCCGCGUACAGCCAAGUGUAAUGAAGAGUCAGCCUUCGUCAUCUUCGGCGAGAUUGCUUUUCAGCGUUAAAAGCGCUCCAACCAGGACACUGCUGUUAUUCAGCUGGGCUGGGUCUGGUCCUGCUGGAUUAUCCCAGAGCAGGGUGUGAGAUAUCAAAGUUGGAAGAGCAAGGCAAUGUCAGCUCUGCUUUGUGAGAUUCACUCCCAUGAAUGCAUGAAAGGCUCCCUGUACAAACUGCAUUAGAUGCGCUCCAAAUGUUCAUUCCUGAUUGGUCACGCUCUGACCCGCAGCUGCAUUCCCUGGCUGGAGGAGUGAAAGAUGCACUGUGGCUUUGUUCUGCCAAAAUCAGGGCUUGGAACCAUGACAGGACUAUCAUAUUACUGAAAUGGAGGGUCAUCUGGAGAAAAAUGAUCCUCGCUGUGGCUCGAGGGGCAUGUCCCUCCUCGGGAGAACAAAACACGGAAAGUCCCGGAUUGGUUUCCGUUGAGGUGGGCGCAGUGAAUACUGGGUGCAAAACAAGGAUCCGGCAGAGACCCGGAAUCCUGCUCCAUCGCAACAUCCAAGGAUACAACUCUCACUUCUAAAUUAUUUGCUUCUAAAUUCUGCUGUGUGGAUCGAAACGGUGACUGAACAAUAUACAGUGGUACCUCGGGUUACAUACGCUUCGGGUUACAUACGCUUCGGGUUACAUACGUUUCAGGUUACAGACUCUGCUAACCCAGAAAUGGUACCUCGGGUUAAGAACUUUGCUUCAGGAUGAGAACAGAAAUCGUGCUCUGGCGGUGCGGCAGCAGCGGGAGGCCACAUUAGCUAAAGUGGUGCUUCAGGUUGAGAACAGUUUCAGGUUAAGAACGGACCUCCGGAACGAAUUAAGUACUUAACCCGAGGUACCACUGUACUUGGCAUGUUUAGGCUUUCUCUAAGUAGAUCUUGCCUUUCAGUGACUAAUUUGGACUCACUAUCAUAACCCAAGGUUGGUUGGUUUAAAAAAAACAAACCCAACUAGCUUUGAUAAUUCCAUUGUCUGCCCCAAGUGUCCCCCCCUUCUUUCUUUCAGAGAAUAGUCUCUUUUAUUUUUGUUAAGUUUCUAGUGCUCAUGGACAUCAGCGCUAUGAACAUCAGUAGGUGGCAGCUGCUGAAAGCACAGCAAAACAGUGGAUGGGUUGUGUUCAGUGCUUUUUUUCUUUAAAAAAUGUUUAGGGGUACUCUCAUUUUCCUACUCAUAUUGAAAUUCUGCCCCUCAAUGAGGCCAAACUUAGAUUCACAACAUGUUUAGGGGUAUGCGUACCCCUGCGUCCCCCCAGAAAAAAAGCACUGGUUGUGUGUAUUCUGAGAAUCUGUGCAAAUGCAGGGUGUCCAUGCUAAUACUUAGCAAAAUAAAUUAAUAAUUCCCCCAACACAGCAUUUUGUAGCAAAAAGAACCUAAAACACUGCAAUAAAUCAGAAUCAGAUAGGCAAUUACAAAAUGUGCACCGUUUAUUCUGAGUGUGGCAUUCGGUUCUUAUUGUCACAGAAUUUGGAUGGGGCAUUAUAACCUAGUGGUCACCGAGGAAGCAGUUUUACUCGAUGCAACUUUUAUUGUGGGCAUAGUCCAGCUGAACCCCAGCUGAAAAGUAAAAGUUUUUAAAACAUGCCCUGUCCUAUUUGGGGCUGGACCUUUUUAUUGGGGAUGAGCUAACCACUACACAAUAGGCUGAAAUUCAAUAGUUCUAGUGAAGCACCCAGGGGUGUGCUCUCUCUCUCUCGUUUUACCCCUCACAGAGUUACAGUUUGUGACACCCUUAACAAAUUACAGUUCCCAGGAUUCAAAGAGGGGUGAGUGAGAGAAUGUGCUUUUAAAUAUAUGGUGUGUAUGCAGCCUUUGCACCCAAUGUGCUUCACCUUAAGUCAAUCCACUCCUCUCAUUUUUCUGCCACGGUGUCUUCGCAAAACUGCAAUUGCUGUUUCUUGCCCACUUAUUUGUGGGGCCAGGGUCUCUGCCUCUGUCCCUGCAGGUGAAUCCCCCAUCCAGGAAACAUUAACAAUAAUUUAGAAGCAAUAACAUUUGUUUGUCAAAGAGCCCUGCUGGCUAUCAGGUAUCACUUGGGGCAAAACCUUAAUGAGAGGCACAAUAAUGGAACAGCAGCUUUAAAAGUAUUUUUGUUCUAGCUGUAUGAACUGUGCAACGGACUGGCUUGACAAUUUGCCAAGAACCUUCUACAGUCAUACCUUCUACAAUCGUAGCUUAGUUCUCGAAUUUUUCGCCCCCCCCAACGCCGCAAACCUGGAAGUGAGUGGUCCGGCUUGUGAACUAUUUUUUGGAAGCUGAACGUCCUAAGGUGCUUUCGCGGCUUUCGAUUGGCAAUCAGAGCUUCCUGCAGCCAAUCAGAAGCUACACUUUGGUUUCCAAAUGUUUUAGAAGUCGAACGGACUUCCGGAACAGAUUCCGUUCGACUUCCAAGGUACGACAGUAUAUGUCUUUGACAGAAAACAAAACCAGCAUCCUCCCUGUAGCUUGACUAAUUGCAGCUAGAAGUGGCUAGGAGGUAGGUGGAGUCGUAGACCUUAGAAAAGUGUAGAUUCACAAACGCUGGCUGGCUUUUGACUUGAAAUGUUCGUUUUCGGCUUCUCAGAAAUCUGUAACGGCGAGAAGCAGCAAGGGGGAGCUGGCCAACAAUGGGGCCCAACUGAGAGGUGCCAGAACUGUGCUCUGGCAUGCGCCAACUGGGGGGGGGAGCACUGCGCAUGCAUCUGCUGCAGUUGACUCUAGCCCCUAAAAGCUUAUAAUUACAGUGGAUGCUCAAGGUGCGAACGUGAUCUGCGCGGGAGGCACGUUCACAACCCGCAGCAUCUGCAACCUGCAGUGCCACUUCUGUGCAUGCACGGGUUGCAAUUCAGCACUUCUGCACAUGAGCAAGUGCCAAAACCCAGAAGUAACUCGUUCUGGUACUUGCAGGUUUUGGCGCGUCUGUAACCCAAAAAUGCGCAACCUGAAGCGUCUGUAACCCGAGGUAUGACUGUACAGUGGCACCUCGGGUUACAUAUGCUUCAGGUUACAGAUGCUUCAGGUUACAGACUGAAAUAGUACCUCGGGUUAAGAACUUUGCUUCAGGAUGAGAACAGAAAUCGCGAGGCGGCAGCGGGAGGCACCAUUAGCUAAAGUGGUACCCAGGUUAAGAACAGCUUCAGGUUAAGAACGGACCUCCAGAACGAAUUAAGUACUUAACCCGAGGUACCACUGUAUUGUGUUUGCUUUUAAGGUGCUGCUCUCUGCUGUUGUCUCUGCUGCCGUUAGACGGAGUGAGCUGACCACCUCAUGCAGAAGUUGCUGAGGGAGCAGCAGUGAGGUGUUGUGGACCAGGUCUGUCUGAGCCAAGUGGCCUGCUGUGUACCCCCAAAGCUAGCCCUCAGAUGAUGCCGCCUCACUGCCACAACUGAACCGAGCGCCACUCUGAUUGGCUUUUGUACAUGGACCUAGGAGGGCAGCACCAUCUUGCCUGUUGCCUCGGGUGGCGAAAUGCCUUGGACACCAGACUGAUGGAGCACUGUCCCUCUGGAAAUGGUCGCCUCUAUCCGCCAUUCCUAGCGAUUCUGCGUCACGGCCUCCGUUUAUGGCUCUGCAAAUGGGCACAGCUUUGUGCCCUUCAAACCACACCACCUUCCCUCGUGUGAUUCCAGCCCACUCAGAUCAUAUCCAUCUCUGAGCAGCAAACUGGUUAACGUGACCUUGCGAAAGGUUGGUGGGGGCUGGGGUUACUUCUCCC